UUUAGAGGUAAAUAAGGUGAUGGAGUACCGAGGUUGAGAGCCGAGCGAGGUGCCAUUUUGCCGAGGUUCCGGUCCGUGGUCCCUUUAUUACAUCAAAAAUUAAAAUUGAAAAAACUAAGCCUAUCAGCUACGAGUUACAAGAUUCCUAUCUAUGAAUCUUCCGAAGCUUGAUCUUGAGUCUUGGUUAGUUCUUCAUGCGGAGUCUGAUCUGAGUCUUGCGGCUUGUUAGUUGCAGGUGCUGGUUCUUUCUUCUUCAACUUUUCAAAUCAAGGCGGGACAUGCGAAGCUUGUGACUUCAAUCAUAUCUUGAGUAGUCUGCAUCU
RNAcentral lists this long non-coding RNA (323 nucleotides) under Nicotiana benthamiana. RNAcentral describes it as "long non-coding RNA (NBEN_LNC016757)". The record is from RNAcentral. Lineage: Eukaryota; Viridiplantae; Streptophyta; Magnoliopsida; Solanales; Solanaceae.